GGCCCAGACUCUACGGGAGGCAGCAGUGGGGAAUAUGCACAAUGGGCGAAAGCUGAUGCAGCGACGCCGCGUGAGGGAUGACGGCUUCGGGUUGUAAACCUCUUCAGCAGGGAAGAAGCGAAAGUGACGGUACCUGCAGAAGAAGCACCGGCUAACUACGUGCCAGCAGCCGCGGUAAUACGUAGGGUGCGAGCGUUGUCCGGAAUUAUUGGGCGUAAAGAGCUUGUAGGCGGUUUGUCGCGUCUGCUGUGAAAAUCCGGGGCUCAACCCCGGACUUGCAGUGGGUACGGGCAGACUAGAGUGUGGUAGGGGAGACUGGAAUUCCUGGUGUAGCGGUGAAAUGCGCAGAUAUCAGGAGGAACACCGAUGGCGAAGGCAGGUCUCUGGGCCACUACUGACGCUGAGAAGCGAAAGCAUGGGGAGCGAACAGGAUUAGAUACCCUGGUAGUCCAUGCCGUAAACGUUGGGAACUAGGUGUGGGUCUCAUUCCACGAGAUCCGUGCCGCAGCUAACGCAUUAAGUUCCCCGCCUGGGGAGUACGGCCGCAAGGCUAAAACUCAAAGGAAUUGACGGGGGCCCGCACAAGCGGCGGAGCAUGCGGAUUAAUUCGAUGCAACGCGAAGAACCUUACCAAGGCUUGACAUAUACCGGAAACUUCCAGAGAUGGUUGCCCCUUUUAGGUCGGUAUACAGGUGGUGCAUGGUUGUCGUCAGCUCGUGUCGUGAGAUGUUGGGUUAAGUCCCGCAACGAGCGCAACCCUCGUUCUAUGUUGCCAGCACGUMAUGGUGGGGACUCAUGGAAGACUGCCGGGGUCAACUCGGAGGAAGGUGGGGAUGACGUCAAAUCAUCAUGCCCCUUAUGUCUUGGGCUUCACGCAUGCUACAAUGGCCGGUACAAAGGGCUGCGAUACCGCAAGGUGGAGCGAAUCCCAAAAAACCGGUCUCAGUUCGGAUUGGGGUCUGCAACUCGACCCCAUGAAGUCGGAGUCGCUAGUAAUCGCAGAUCAGCAACGYGCGAUGUAACUGAA
RNAcentral lists this ribosomal RNA (1027 nucleotides) under Janibacter limosus. Its description in RNAcentral is "bacterial SSU rRNA". It matches the Rfam family "Bacterial small subunit ribosomal RNA", at positions 328 to 1372 of the family's 1533-position model. The record is from RNAcentral. Lineage: Bacteria; Bacillati; Actinomycetota; Actinomycetes; Micrococcales; Intrasporangiaceae.